RNAcentral lists this ribosomal RNA (451 nucleotides) under uncultured bacterium. RNAcentral describes it as "partial 16S ribosomal RNA". It matches the Rfam family "Bacterial small subunit ribosomal RNA", at positions 358 to 801 of the family's 1533-position model. The record is from RNAcentral.
GGAAUCUUCGGCAAUGGGGGCAACCCUGACCGAGCAACGCCGCGUGAGUGAAGAAGGUUUUCGGAUCGUAAAGCUCUGUUGUAAGUCAAGAACGGGUGUGAGAGUGGAAAGUUCACACUGUGACGGUAGCUUACCAGAAAGGGACGGCUAACUACGUGCCAGCAGCCGCGGUAAUACGUAGGUCCCGAGCGUUGUCCGGAUUUAUUGGGCGUAAAGCGAGCGCAGGCGGUUUGAUAAGUCUGAAGUUAAAGGCUGUGGCUCAACCAUAGUUCGCUUUGGAAACUGUCAAACUUGAGUGCAGAAGGGGAGAGUGGAAUUCCAUGUGUAGCGGUGAAAUGCGUAGAUAUAUGGAGGAACACCGGUGGCGAAAGCGGCUCUCUGGUCUGUAACUGACGCUGAGGCUCGAAAGCGUGGGGAGCGAACAGGAUUAGAUACCCUGGUAGUCCACGCC